This is a non-coding RNA of Chlorocebus sabaeus (green monkey), 2837 nucleotides long. The record is from RefSeq and is a predicted model, not a curated record. NCBI's taxonomy places the organism in Eukaryota, Metazoa, Chordata, Mammalia, Primates, Cercopithecidae.
ACUGCAGCCUGGGCGAUAGAGUGAGACUUCAUCUGGAAAAAAAAAAAAAGGACUUUAUGAAUUUUAAGGCCUUCAUUCUUUUCUUUAUAACUUAAUUUCUACAUGUAUUUACUUUGUACAGGCCACUAUAGCUACCAUAUUAAGACCAGUAUUAUCAGCUUAAUUCUGAUUAUAAAAAUAUUAUCUCAGAAUGUCAUCCCAAAGGAAACCCUUGAAAGAUAGGACUAUUUAAAAUACCAGGUAGUAUAUGCAGAACCAGAGGCAGAAUACCAUCUGCAGAUCUCAAAUUUUAAGAAAAAACUUUGAAAGAAAUGGCAUGACAAACCCAUAGCCUCACAAAGUUGAAUUUAGAAUUCAACAAUAGAAUUGCAGCUAUCUUCUUCAAUUAACUUUGCAAGUUAUAACUGUGAGAUUUUUUUCUCUUAAAACUGAUUUCCUGGGGAGUUAACUUCUUGAAACAUAUCACUAAGGAGAAGCAAAGAAAAGAAAGCCAAAUGAGCUAUUUGUAGUAUCAACAAAGACAUUUGAAAGAGAAGGCAAUUCUCCAUUUCCCAUGAGAGUGUGUAAGAAGUCUACCAUUGGCAUCAUCUCCAAUCACAGCCUACAGCAUCCAUCAGGGUAUUACUUUCUCUAUGACAGCAUGUGUGCAGGAGGGCUCUCACGUUGGAAUGUGGAACUGGCUUCUUGGGGGGAUUAUGUAUGCUGUGGCAUUGGCACCAUGGCACUCAGCUCUUAACUCUGGCUUCAUCUAGGUUUUUUUUUUCAUUGUGACACAUGGGCUUUCUUUAUUUGUCAUGAAGUAUGUUUCUCUUUCUGUCAUUUGUGGUAGGGUUUCUCUCUUUCACUCAAUGCCACAUCUCUGUGGUCUCCAUAGGUGCUGUUUAUGUUUAAUUUAUGAUGCUAUAAAGACCAAUAAAAUGAAGAACUCCUUAAGGAAUCUAAUAUUCAUGAUAAUCCUCUUUCUAGAAAUAAUUAUUUCUUUUUAGUCUUAAAUUGGUAAAUAUUUCACAGAAUUUUAGACUGUAAACCUUAAUAAUUAAAAUUUCAAGGAAUAUUCUUCUUAGUUUUCGAUUUUUCAUUUGGAAACCUCUUGACAGGAUCAUUGGUACAAAGUACAGUAUUUAUUUUAUAGCAUCACUAUGGAGGUAGCCAAACCUUCCAUGGCUCGAUCUCUUCUUUCCCUUACAUUUACAUCAUCAUCUUCAUUUACCUUCACUAUUGAAGAAAUAAAGUCUCCAAUCCCUAAUGUAGCACGUUGGUUUACCAAUUGCAUAUCACUAUUUUCUGUGUCAUUCAUUAAAUGAAAAAAAUAAGCCUUGCUCAAAAAUGAACCUAUCCAUGAGUUGUAUAGGAACAAGAUUUAUAACCUCAGCUGGCUGAUACUAUUUAGCAAACGUUUCUCCAUGUAGUUAUGGUCCCUUUGUACAAAAAAAAAAAAAGUGUGUGUGUGUAUGUGUGUGUGUGUGUGUAUAUAUAUAUAUAUAAAUAUGUAUAUAUAAUUCUUUUACUUGUGAUAAGCUUUGUUUUUAGUAUCAUUUUAAAUUAAUCUUCAUAACAGCCUUGUUUUGGGUAGAUAUUAAUGUCAUCCUCGUUUUAAAGAUGAGGAAAUUGAGACACAAAGAGGCUGAUCAUAAAGCUAGCAAGUGAGUGGUAGAAAAUUGUCUUUUCUUAAAUACCAUGCUUUCUCCUGUUAAGAAGUUGUUAAAAGUCAUUAGCUCUGUGACUAGCAUGUAGUAGUCUUGUAUUUUCACUUCAUCUAUUUACUUUGUUCAGGUUGUUUAUAUAGUUUGGGGUAUAUAUUAUGAGAAGAUGCACCUACAAGAUACAGAACUUUAAUUAAUACAAAACGUUAGUAGUGUGUAUUUUCACUUCAUCCAUUUACUUUGUUCAGGUUGGUUACAUAGUUUGGGGUAUAUACUAUGAGAAGAUGCACCUAUAAGACACAAAACUUUAAUUCAAAGAAAUGUUAGAAAGACAUCUAACAUUUAUGGUAAUAUAAUUUAUUGUUAUGUAAUUUAUUGUUAUUUUUCUCUUAUUUAGUCAUUUGAUAAAUAUUGAGCUACCUACUAUGCCUUAUUUAAAUAUAAUCAUAAUCUGCCAGCUAUUUCUUGGCCUUUGGAGUUGGCUUUACAUUUAGAAUACAUAAAAUAUUAUUAAUGUAGUGAGGUUAGUGUCUCAUAUUGUACAGUCUUUCAUCCCUUCAAGCAAAGUGGAAAAAAAGAACUCAUCUUUCACGUUUCUAACUGAUUUUCAACUUUGUUCCAGCAGUGUUCUAGCAGAACUCCUUUUUCAAAUCCUUUGAAAAGAUUGCUUCAGAAUUCCCUUAGUAUAAACCAAAGCCAGAAUUAAUACUUUCUUCUGAUAGAAAUUGAAUUCCUUCUAACUUAUUUGAGAAGCUGAAAUAUAUACUAGAUAUGAAUUUAUUAUAAUUUAUAACACAGUAUCUAAACCAAAGAAAAUUAAUAAACAUCCAAGUUGUCAUGCUUUUACUGGUCCAAAUUGAACCCUUUAGAGCCUUAUCUUUAAUGUCUUAGAUUUCCCAGUAGCAAGGUUGAUUUAGAUAAUUUGACAUUUAGAAGCUAAAUAGUUUAUUUCCCGUUGAGUAGACAGGGACUGAAAAUCGUGUUUUUAUUUAAUGCUUAAGAACUUCCAGCUACCUAAAGGAAAGAUGGUUUUAAAGUUGUAAUAUGCAAAAUAGUUGUCCUUUGAACUCUUAGACACUCUUAGGAUACCAAUUCUGAUCUGAACAAACUCGGACUGCCUAACAGUUUUGGAGCUUUUGCAAACAGAAGUUUCAGUUGAAUUGCAGUGAGUAGGUCUACAUAUUCAAGAAAGGA